This 1571-nucleotide long non-coding RNA is filed under the name Canis lupus familiaris (dog). Its description in RNAcentral is "lncRNA (ENSCAFG00000056317.1)". The record is from RNAcentral. Lineage: Eukaryota; Metazoa; Chordata; Mammalia; Carnivora; Canidae.
UUUUGAAUAUAUCAUACCACACUCCUCUGGCCUAGUAAAUUUCUACUGAAAAAUCAGCUGAUAUCUUGUAGGGGUUUCUAUUGAUAGCUAUAUAGGGUUUCUCUUAUCUGUUUUCUAUUCUCUUGCUGCUUUUAAAAUUCUCUAUCACUACCUUUUGUCAUUUUAAGUUCUAUUUGUCUUUGUGUGAAUUUUGUUGGGAGUUCUCUGUGCUUCCUGGAUCUGGACUUCUAUUUCUAUCAUCAGAUAUAGGAAGUUUUUAGCUAAUAUUUCUUCAAAUAGAUCUUCUGCCCCUUUUCUCCCUCUUCUUCUAGAAUCUCUAUAAUGUGAAUGUUAUUACAAUUGGUGUCACUGAGUUCCCUUAGACUACUUUUUCUUUUUUUCUGUCUCCUGUUCCACUGAUAUCUUUCUUUAUUCUGUUCUCCAGGUCACUGAUGCACUCUUCUGCUUCCUCUAGCUUACUGUUGAUUCCAUCAAGCAUAUUUUUAAUUUCAGUUAUUGAGUUCUUCAUCUCUGAUUGGUUCAUUUUUUUAUGUUUUCUAUCUCUAAGGGUUCUACUGAAGUCCUCCAUUCUUUGUUCAAGUCCAGUGAGUAUCUUUAUGAUUACUUUAAAUUCUCUAUCAGUUAUAUUACUUAUAUCUGUUUCACUUAAGUCUCUUGCUGUGGUUUUGUCAUUUUCUUUCAUUUAGGACAUUGUCCUGUCUCAUUUUGUCUCUCUGCAUCUGUUUCUAUGUGUUAGAAAAGUCAACCAUAUCUCCUGCUCUUGAAAGUAGUGUCCUUAUGAAGAAGAGGUCCUGUUGUGCCUUGCUGUGCAAUGUCCCCUGUUCACCAGAACCUGGCAUUUCAGGGGUGUCUCCUAUGUGGGUUGCAUGUACCCUACUACUGUAGUUGAGCCAUGUUUGCCUUUAAUCUAGUCAUCUGCAAUAGCUCUCUUUGCCUGUUGUGGACAGGGUUUGGUCCCUGUGUUGUUAAUGGGCCAGUCUGGAGCCUCCCUGGGCUUGAGCUGAAUCAACGUCAGCAAAGAUACAGUUGCAGGAACUUGCAGGGUGCAUUCCCUCUGCUGUCCCUUGAGAAGAUUUUAUUGGUGGGCAGGGCUUGCAGUCACACCAGAUGUCUGAUGCCAGCCCACUGCUGAUGCCACCACGGUUUACUGGUGUGUGUGGUUAUCUUCCCCUCUCCCCAGGGCAGGAGUCACUCUGGAUUUAUGCUGACCCUAUCAGAGCUGCUAGCACUUUGGAUGAAUUCAGGCCAAGGACAUAUUACAUGGAGCAUGUCUAGAGGAGAACAUGGGGGAGGGUCAAGGGGGUAGCUGUUAAAAAGCUGGGUCAAGAGUAUUCAUGUUUUGCUGCUUCUAGCAGGUACCAAUGUAUCUAGGCUGGGUGGCCAGGAGGGGAAAUGGCACUCACUAGCUCUUUUGUUUUUGGAGAAGUCCCCCAAAGAUUCCUGCCCUUCAGCACAUACUCAGAUCUGUAAAUAAAUCUCCUUCCAGUAUACCCCCGGACGUUUUUCAAAUUGUUGCUUCUAUGCUAUAUCUCUGCAGGCUGUUUGUUGUGCUGUCUCUUUGGGGUGAGGUC